AUUUGAGUAGUAUAAAAAUUACAAUACAUUUUCAAUGUAUAAAUAGAUCAGAUCUCUCGAAUA
Molecule: transfer RNA, 63 nt
Filed under: Streptocephalus cafer
Lineage: Eukaryota; Metazoa; Arthropoda; Branchiopoda; Anostraca; Streptocephalidae
Description: tRNA-Glu
Source: RNAcentral